This 69-nucleotide transfer RNA is filed under the name Ictidomys tridecemlineatus (thirteen-lined ground squirrel). RNAcentral's name for it is "Spermophilus tridecemlineatus (thirteen-lined ground squirrel) tRNA". It matches the Rfam family "tRNA". From Rfam's summary of the family: Transfer RNA (tRNA) molecules are approximately 80 nucleotides in length. Their secondary structure includes four short double-helical elements and three loops (D, anti-codon, and T loops). Further hydrogen bonds mediate the characteristic L-shaped molecular structure. tRNAs have two regions of fundamental functional importance: the anti-codon, which is responsible for specific mRNA codon recognition, and the 3' end, to which the tRNAs corresponding amino acid is attached (by aminoacyl-tRNA synthetases). tRNAs cope with the degeneracy of the genetic code in two manners: having more than one tRNA (with a specific anti-codon) for a particular amino acid; and 'wobble' base-pairing, i.e. permitting non-standard base-pairing at the 3rd anti-codon position. Lineage: Eukaryota; Metazoa; Chordata; Mammalia; Rodentia; Sciuridae. The record is from Rfam by way of RNAcentral.
GGAGUUGUGACUCAGUGGUAGAGUGUCCACUUAGCAUGUGGGAGGCACUGGGUUUGAUUCUCAGCACCA